Molecule: unclassified non-coding RNA, 651 nt
Filed under: Hevea brasiliensis (rubber tree)
Lineage: Eukaryota; Viridiplantae; Streptophyta; Magnoliopsida; Malpighiales; Euphorbiaceae
Source: RNAcentral
GUUUAUAGUUUUGGGGUUGUUCUUAUAGAGCUGCUGACAGGAAAGAAAGCAGUUUCUUUUGACAGGCCUGAAGAAGAAAGAAAUUUGGCAUUGUAUUUUGUUUCUUUAGUGGACAGAAACAGCUUGGUGGCCAUUUUUGAUCAACGAGUACUGAGUGAAAAUAAUAUUGAGGAAAUGAUGGCUGUGGCCAUGCUAGGGAUGAGAUGUGUGAGAGUGAAGGACGAUGAAAGGCCAACGAUGAAGGAAGUUGCAAUGGAAUUAGAGGCACCGAGGGCAAUGAGAUUGCAGCCCUGUGGGGAAGGUGAUUCGCCUGCAGAAGAUCAGGACGAAUACAUUCUCACGAAACUAUGCAAAUUCUAUUAUGAAGGAAUGGCGGUGAAUAAUACCGUGGAAAGUCAAGUUACUUUUGAAAUUGAAGGUGGGAGAUGAUUCUUUUAUGCGACAUUUUCAUGUUUGUCUUCAUAUUCCAACUAUGCAAUCUAAUCGAACCUUUUAGAAUAAUUAUUACUAAUUUCAUUUUUAAUGUCAUAAUUUUAUUAUUUUGUUAUAAUCAGAUGACAUAACUUUAAAUAAUUUUUGUGUAAAUGGAGAUGAAUUUGUAUGCAAAAUUAUUAAAGGGUUAAUGAAGAAAUUAAAUAUUUUUUGGGAUGA